Nerophis ophidion (straightnose pipefish) is the source of this 2908-nucleotide long non-coding RNA. RefSeq lists it as uncharacterized. The record is from RefSeq and is a predicted model, not a curated record. The transcript is spliced from 5 exons. NCBI's taxonomy places the organism in Eukaryota, Metazoa, Chordata, Actinopteri, Syngnathiformes, Syngnathidae.
GGAGCCAUCAGUGUUAAGAGGAAGGAGCUCUUUAGCACAGAGUUACACUUUCAGUCUUGAGCAGAUUUUACUUCCAACACAAGGACAACAUUAUUUUUCGGUUCACAGUGAAACUUUACCAUGGAUCAGAGCGCGGUCAAGCGAACAUGAAUCACGACGGAAUGUCAACCAGCAGGUUUCGCUGCCGUCGACUCCACUGAGACACUGGCAUCAAGACACCCGUGGAUACACACCUCCGACUAUCAGUGCUGAGGUCAGGAUCAGAGAGAGAUGAAAGCACCAUUUAAAUGAGCACCUCACUGCUGGAGCGCUGACUUCUGACCCCUGACCCUCAACCACACGACCCCACCCUCCAGCAGUUCCACGACUUGCAGCAAGGACAAAAGGAGAAAAUGACCAUCAGUGGGUCAUGGGGAGCACUAUGAAGACCUCAGGAGUCCCAACAGGGGCGGCAGUGAUGUCACAGAUGAGGUCACCAUUUAGGUCACCCACGGCGCCGAUGCUCCCACGAUAGCUGCAGGUAAUUAUGAUGUCAUUGACAUUAUGCAUCAACGAACACAUGCUCAUGUAUUCACAGGUCCAGCCGGGUUUCAAGCGUUUUAUAACACCUUGGCCACCAGAAGCAGCCGUAACUCAGAAAAAAAAACCCUAAGAAAAACACUUAAAUAUUAUAAUAGGUCUUGGUAUAUGUAUUUGAUUAAAAUGUAAAAAUUUAAGGUAAUUAUACGAUAUUUUACUCCGGUUUAUCACUUCCAGCCAGAACCUCAAUGACGUCAUGCAUCAAGGCAACACUGUGUGCGUUUGUUUACGUACAAGCAGAACCAUUGGCGCCCGAACUGAUGUAUCAUGCAUGGCUAAUGUCUCCACAGUGUAAAAAGAUGGACCACUGUAAACAGGUGGAGACAAGAAACAAGCUAAUGUGCGGGUAGCAUACAGCGCCAGUUUCCUGCAGACCACUUUGCACGUCAAAUGCUGAAGGCUACGUGGCGUCAACCCGACUGCAGCGAGCUGUUGCUUCUCCGAUUUAACACAGAGUAAAUGUUAUCAACAGUAAGCCCAUCAAGCAUUUGAGUGGCACAUUGGCUUGUUAUACGCACAUUUUCCUGGUGGAAUAAGUCUGAAAAGACGGGUCAUCUUAAAUUUCUCCAGUUAUCAAUGCAAACAAACAGGUGAUACAAAACAACUUCUCUCUCAGCAAAUUACAGUUUUUCUCAUUUUUGAUGAAAUGCAAACACCGUGAUGUCGGAUGAAACCUGGAAAGAUGUAGCUGUGACUGUAAUUGUAAUUGUUGGUUACAACAUUAAGUACCAUGCUAACCUCUGAUCACCCACUUCAAUGGUCUUGUGAUUUUCAACAAAACUGUUUUCAGUCUGUUACUAAUGUUUGCAUGGAAAAAAUAAUGAUAAUAAUGCCAUCCUAUUAGUAUUCCUGGAGUGCCAAAGUAACAUCCACACGGCAGACGUUUAUCCAUGAAAAUAUGGGUAAGCUGCCGAAUGGUCUGCCCGACACAUUUCAGUUUGUUCUUCUCUUGAGACUCUACAAACUGGAUGAGCAAGCAUUAGCAUAUUAGCAUCAUUGAGUUUUAUGCAGCUCAAUUUUUGUUUCAUCUGACCACAGAACUUUCCUCCAUGAGGUCUUAUCAUUGUCCCUUUUAUGUCGGAUGAAACAAAAAUUGAGCUGUUUGGCCACAAUACCCAGCAAUAUGUUUGGAGGAGAAAAACUGAGGUCUUUAAUCCCAAUGGAACUGGUGCUUUACAGAAAGUAACUGGGACAAUGAAAAAGGAGGAUUACCUCCAAAUUAUUCAGGACAACCUAAAGUCGUCACCCCGGAGGUUGGGUCUUGAGCACAGUUGGGUGUACCAACAGGACAAUGACCCCAAACACACGUCAAAAGUGGUAAAGGAAUGGCUGAAUCAGGCAAGAUUUUAAAAUUUUAGAAUGGCCUUCCAAAAAGUAUCAAUCAAUCAAUUAAUCAAUGUUUAUUUAUAUAGCCCUAAAUCACAAAUGUCUCAAAGGACUGUACAAACUACUACAACUACGACAUCCUCGGAAGAACCCACAUAAGGGCAAGGAAAACUCACACCCAGUGGGACGCCAGUGACAAUGAUGACUAUGAGAAACUUGGAGAGGACCUCAUAUGUGGGCAACCCCUCCCUCCCUACUUACUUAAACAUGUGGACAAUGCUGAAGAAACAAGUCCAUGUCAAAAAAACAACACAUUAGCUAAACUGCACCAAUUUUGUCAAAAAGAGUGGUCAAAAAUUCAACCAGAAGCUUGUUGAUGGCUACCAAAAGCACCUUAUUGCAGUGAAAAUUGCCAAGGGACAUGAAACCAAAUUUUACCCUUGUCUUACGUUAGGAGGCUAAGUUACCUGUUAAGAUCCGCUGCUCGGAUCUUAAUUUAUUUGGUUUUCUGGUAAUUUGUGUUUAUCUUCUUGAUUCAUGGACGCUUCAGAGUCUUACUUUGUGUACUCCCUGAUUUGUUUUUGUCACCAUGGCGACUUGAUUUGUUCACCUGCCUUUGUUUGCACACCUGGUUUUGAUUAGUGACUCUAUAUUAACCCACCUGUUUCAUUUACUCGUCCUGGUCUCGUCAAGUUUCCUACACUCUUUUCAAUGUCUUCGUGGACUCCUAACUUUGGUAAUAAUCCGUUUUGAUACUUGCUAGCUUCCAUGCCUAGCCUCUUUGUGUUCUAAGUGUUUACUCGCUAAUGCUUUCGCGCUUAGCCACCUUCUGUUUCCCUAGCUCACACGCUAGUAGAUGUUUGUUUGCCUUUUCUCUUAGCACAAGGGUUUUUUGUUAUUAGUCUGUUUGUAGUUAAAUAAAUCUGUUUUCUUACCUGUACGCUGUGUCAUUGCCCGACUGCAUCUUGGAAGAAGCACCCCUUGCGCACGAUGCCACGAAGAC